AGCAGCCGCGGUAAUUCCAGCUCCAAUAGCGUAUAUUAAAGUUGUUGCAGUUAAAAAGCUCGUAGUUGAAUUUCGGGAUCAGAUUGUCGGUCGUGCCUCGGUACGCACUGGCAUUAUUGGUUCCUACCUUCUGAAGAACCGCGAUGUCAUUAAUUUGGUGUCGUGGGGAAUCAGGACUGUUACUUUGAAAAAAUUAGAGUGUUUAAAGCAGGCGCACGCUUGAAUACAUUAGCAUGGAAUAAUGAAAUAGGACGUUUGAUUCUAUUUUGUUGGUUUCUAGGAUCGACGUAAUGAUUAAUAGGGAUAGUUGGGGGCAUUAGUAUUCAAUUGUCAGAGGUGAAAUUCUUGGAUUUAUUGAAGACUAACUACUGCGAAAGCAUUUGCCAAGGAUGUUUUCAUUAAUCAAGAACGAAAGUUAGGGGAUCGAAGACGAUCAGAUACCGUCGUAGUCUUAACCAUAAACUAUGCCGACUAGGGAUCGGAUGAUGUUAAUUUUAUAAUGACUCAUUCGGCGCCUUACG
This 521-nucleotide ribosomal RNA is filed under the name uncultured Glomus. Its description in RNAcentral is "SSU rRNA". It matches the Rfam family "Eukaryotic small subunit ribosomal RNA", at positions 569 to 1092 of the family's 1831-position model. The record is from RNAcentral. Lineage: Eukaryota; Fungi; Glomeromycota; Glomeromycetes; Glomerales; Glomeraceae.